GACGAACGCUGGCGGCGUGCUUAACACAUGCAAGUCGAACGGAAAGGCCCUGCUUUUGUGGGGUGCUCGAGUGGCGAACGGGUGAGUAACACGUGAGUAACCUGCCCUUGACUUUGGGAUAACUUCAGGAAACUGGGGCUAAUACCGGAUAGGAGCUCCUGCUGCAUGGUGGGGGUUGGAAAGUUUCGGCGGUUGGGGAUGGACUCGCGGCUUAUCAGCUUGUUGGUGGGGUAGUGGCUUACCAAGGCUUUGACGGGUAGCCGGCCUGAGAGGGUGACCGGCCACAUUGGGACUGCGAUACGGCCCAGACUCCUACGGGAGGCAGCAGUGGGGAAUAUUGCACAAUGGGCGGAAGCCUGAUGCAGCAACGCCGCGUGCGGGAUGACGGCCCUCGGGUUGUAAACCGCUUUCGCCUGUGACGAAGCGUGAGUGACGGUAAUGGGUAAAGAAGCACCGGCUAACUACGUG
RNAcentral lists this ribosomal RNA (468 nucleotides) under uncultured bacterium. RNAcentral's name for it is "partial 16S ribosomal RNA". It matches the Rfam family "Bacterial small subunit ribosomal RNA", at positions 28 to 507 of the family's 1533-position model. The record is from RNAcentral.